UACAGAGGGGGCAAGCGUUGUUCGGAAUUACUGGGCGUAAAGGGCGCGUAGGCGGCCUGUUAAGUCAGACGUGAAAUCCCUCGGCUCAACCGGGGAACUGCGUCGGAUACUGGAUGGCUUGAAUUCGGGAGAGGGAUGCAGAAUUCCAGGUGUAGCGGUGAAAUGCGUAGAUAUCUGGAGGAAUACCGGUGGCGAAGGCGGCAUCCUGGACCGACAUUGACGCUGAUGAGCGAAAGCUAGGGGAGCAAACGGG
RNAcentral lists this ribosomal RNA (253 nucleotides) under uncultured bacterium. Its description in RNAcentral is "partial 16S ribosomal RNA". It matches the Rfam family "Bacterial small subunit ribosomal RNA", at positions 524 to 776 of the family's 1533-position model. The record is from RNAcentral.